RNAcentral lists this ribosomal RNA (431 nucleotides) under uncultured organism. RNAcentral describes it as "bacterial SSU rRNA". It matches the Rfam family "Bacterial small subunit ribosomal RNA", at positions 346 to 769 of the family's 1533-position model. The record is from RNAcentral.
GUGCACCAGGCGAGAAUUUUUCUCAAUGGGGGAAACCCUGAAGGAGCGACGCCGCGUGGAGGAUGAAGGUCUUCGGGUUGUAAACUCCUGUCAUUUGGGAACAAGCGUCGGUACGUAACUACUACCGGCUUGAUAGUACCAGAGGAGGAAGAGACGGCUAACUCUGUGCCAGCAGCCGCGGUAAUACAGAGGUCUCAAGCGUUGUUCGGAUUCAUUGGGCGUAAAGGGUGCGUAGGUGGCGCCGUAAGUGGGGUGUGAAAUUUCGGAGCUUAAACUCCGAAACUGCAUUCCAUACUGCGGUGCUUGAGGACUGGAGAGGAGACUGGAAUUCAUGGUGUAGCAGUGAAAUGCGUAGAGAUCAUGAGGAAGACCAGUGGCGAAGGCGGGUCUCUGGACAGUUCCUGACACUGAUGCACGAAGGCCAGGGGAGC